RNAcentral lists this transfer RNA (77 nucleotides) under Candidatus Saccharimonadota bacterium. RNAcentral's name for it is "tRNA-Ile". It matches the Rfam family "tRNA". Rfam says of the family: Transfer RNA (tRNA) molecules are approximately 80 nucleotides in length. Lineage: Bacteria; Candidatus Saccharimonadota. The record is from RNAcentral.
GGGGAUAUAGCUCAGCUGGUUAGAGCGCGUCACUGAUAAUGACGAGGUCUAUGGUUCAAGUCCAUAUAUCCCCACCA